AUUGAACGCUGGCGGCAUGCUUUACACAUGCAAGUCGAACGGUAACAGGCCGCAAGGUGCUGACGAGUGGCGAACGGGUGAGUAAUGCAUCGGAACGUGCCCAAUCGUGGGGGAUAACGCAGCGAAAGCUGUGCUAAUACCGCAUACGAUCUAAGGAUGAAAGCGGGGGAUCGCAAGACCUCGCGCGAAUGGAGCGGCCGAUAUCAGAUUAGGUAGUUGGUGGGGUAAAGGCUCACCAAGCCAACGAUCUGUAGCUGGUCUGAGAGGACGACCAGCCACACUGGAACUGAGACACGGUCCAGACUCCUACGGGAGGCAGCAGUGGGGAAUUUUGGACAAUGGGCGCAAGCCUGAUCCAGCCAUUCCGCGUGCAGGAUGAGGACCUUCGGGUUGUAAACUGCUUUUGUACGGAACGAAACGGUCUGCCCUAAUACGGCGGGCUAAUGACGGUACCGUAAGAAUAAGCACCGGCUAACUACGUG
This 482-nucleotide ribosomal RNA is filed under the name uncultured bacterium. Its description in RNAcentral is "bacterial SSU rRNA". It matches the Rfam family "Bacterial small subunit ribosomal RNA", at positions 30 to 507 of the family's 1533-position model. The record is from RNAcentral.